This 69-nucleotide transfer RNA is filed under the name Graptodytes eremitus. Its description in RNAcentral is "tRNA-Gln". The record is from RNAcentral. Lineage: Eukaryota; Metazoa; Arthropoda; Insecta; Coleoptera; Dytiscidae.
UAUAUCUUAGUAUAUGAUGUAUUUGGGUUUUUGAUACUUAAGGAAAUAGUUUAAUUCUAUUAGUUAUAA